Molecule: ribosomal RNA, 504 nt
Filed under: uncultured bacterium
Lineage: Bacteria
Description: partial 16S ribosomal RNA
Rfam family: Bacterial small subunit ribosomal RNA
Source: RNAcentral
AUUGAACGCUGGCGGCAGGCCUAACACAUGCAAGUCGAACGGUAGCACAGAGAGCUUGCUCUCGGGUGACGAGUGGCGGACGGGUGAGUAAUGUCUGGGAAACUGCCCGAUGGAGGGGGAUAACUACUGGAAACGGUAGCUAAUACCGCAUAACGUCGCAAGACCAAAGUGGGGGACCUUCGGGCCUCACACCAUCGGAUGUGCCCAGAUGGGAUUAGCUAGUAGGUGGGGUAAUGGCUCACCUAGGCGACGAUCCCUAGCUGGUCUGAGAGGAUGACAAGCCACACUGGAACUGAGACACGGUCCAGACUCCUACGGGAGGCAGCAGUGGGGAAUAUUGCACAAUGGGCGCAAGCCUGAUGCAGCCAUGCCGCGUGUAUGAAGAAGGCCUUCGGGUUGUAAAGUACUUUCAGCGGGGAGGAAGGCGGUGAAGUUAAUAACUUCACCGAUUGACGUUACCCGCAGAAGAAGCACCGGCUAACUCCGUGCCAGCCGCCGCAGUAA